RNAcentral lists this ribosomal RNA (253 nucleotides) under uncultured bacterium. RNAcentral describes it as "partial 16S ribosomal RNA". It matches the Rfam family "Bacterial small subunit ribosomal RNA", at positions 524 to 776 of the family's 1533-position model. The record is from RNAcentral.
UACGAAGGGGGCUAGCGUUGUUCGGAGUCACGGGGCGUAAAGCGCACGCAGGCGGAUCGAUAAGUCGGGGGUGAAAGCCCGGGGCUCAACCUCGGAAUUGCCUUCGAUACUGUCGGUCUCGAGUCCGGGAGAGGUGAGUGGAAUUCCUAGUGUAGAGGUGAAAUUCGUAGAUAUUAGGAAGAGCACCAGUGGCGAAGGCGGCUCACUGGCCCGGUACUGACGCUCAGGUGCGAAAGCGUGGGGAGCAAACAGG